RNAcentral lists this ribosomal RNA (594 nucleotides) under uncultured Salinisphaera sp. RNAcentral's name for it is "bacterial SSU rRNA". It matches the Rfam family "Bacterial small subunit ribosomal RNA", at positions 334 to 918 of the family's 1533-position model. Lineage: Bacteria; Pseudomonadati; Pseudomonadota; Gammaproteobacteria; Salinisphaerales; Salinisphaeraceae. The record is from RNAcentral.
GACUCCUACGGGAGGCAGCAGUGGGGAAUAUUGGACAAUGGGCGCAAGCCUGAUCCAGCCAUGCCGCGUGUGUGAAGAAGGCCCUAGGGUUGUAAAGCACUUUAAGCAGGAAAGAAAAGCGCCGGGUUAAUAACCCGAGCGUAUUGACGGUACCUGCAGAAUAAGCACCGGCUAACUUCGUGCCAGCAGCCGCGGUAAUACGAAGGGUGCAAGCGUUAAUCGGAAUUACUGGGCGUAAAGCGAUGCGUAGGCGGUUGCGUGUGUCGGAUGUGAAAGCCCCGGGCUCAACCUGGGAAUUGCAUUCGAAACUGCGCAACUAGAAUGUGGUAGAGGAAGACGGAAUUCCACGUGUAGCGGUGAAAUGCGUAGAUAUGUGGAGGAACACCAAUGGCGAAGGCAGUCUUCUGGGCCAACAUUGACGCUGAGGUACGAAAGCGUGGGUAGCAAACAGGAUUAGAUACCCUGGUAGUCCACGCCGUAAACGAUGAGAACUAGACGUUGGUUGACAUAGUCGGCCAGUGUCGCAGCAAACGCGUUAAGUUCUCCGCCUGGGGAGUACGGCCGCAAGGUUGAAACUCAAAGGAAUUGACGGGG